CGGGAGUUCAACAUUGGUAAUGAUAUUUUUGCUAGUGAUUCCAUCGAACUUCUUCGUCAGUGUGGUAUUGAUUUUCAGAAGAAUAAUGAAGAAGGUAUCGAUGUCAAUCGUUUUGGUGAGCUUCUAAUGUCUUCUGGGGUUGUGUUAAACGAUGAUGUGAACUGGGUGACGUUUCAUAGUGGGUAUGAUUUUGGUUACUUGCUGAAAUUGCUGACUUGCCGUGGUUUACCGAAUGAGCAAGCAG
This 244-nucleotide unclassified non-coding RNA is filed under the name Hevea brasiliensis (rubber tree). The record is from RNAcentral. Lineage: Eukaryota; Viridiplantae; Streptophyta; Magnoliopsida; Malpighiales; Euphorbiaceae.